Molecule: non-coding RNA, 182 nt
Filed under: Desulforamulus aeronauticus
Lineage: Bacteria; Bacillati; Bacillota; Clostridia; Eubacteriales; Peptococcaceae
Source: RNAcentral
UAAAUAAUCUUAGUGUUAGGUGACCCCUAUACGGGGUUGAAAAGGGAAUCGGGUGCAAGUCCCGAACGGUCCGGCCACUGUAAAUGGCGAGCUGGUUUCUAAAGGCCACUGGAGCAAGUCUGGGAAGGUUGAAACCGCGUUGACCCAUAAGUCAGGAAACCUGCCUACUAUAUUUUCUGUGC